UUUUGUGCGGCCAACUGAUCAUGGGGCUGUCUCUUCAUCGUCCCUGCUUCGAAAUUAGCGUUACUAGUUAUGGAUGAAUUGCGAACGGUUGCCUGUAUUGUUCUACCCUUGGGUAGCGCAUGAUUGUCCUGUCGGUUUAUAAUUAGCUUGUUUUGUUAACGUUAGUUGACGAGACGACCGAGAUGUUAGUGACUUCCAAGUGUUUCCAUGUACGUUGUCAUGGUAAUGCACAUGGAUGUUUGCUUGUUCUCAUGGAUGUGGUCCCUAUUGUGAGUUCUAUGGGAUUUGUGCCUGCAGAACCUUUGAGGAUGCCCUUGCAUAGAACAGGUUCUCUUUGCUGCACCAACAUGUUGUGCUUUAAGCGUCAUGAUGUAGUGCUUUAUUGGGGUAGUGUUGUUUGCUUGUGGCAUGCCUCUUAAACCGAACGACUUGCAAUUGCUGGUUUGCGUUAUCACACAACCCCUACCAAUUGGUUAGGAGAUAAGGAUAACGUUCAGCUCUUGUUUAAGAUGUGCUACCUGGUUGAUCCUGCCAGUAGUCAUAGGCCU
Molecule: unclassified non-coding RNA, 548 nt
Filed under: Isolepis karroica
Lineage: Eukaryota; Viridiplantae; Streptophyta; Magnoliopsida; Poales; Cyperaceae
Description: partial external transcribed spacer 1f
Source: RNAcentral